Long non-coding RNA from Oreochromis niloticus (Nile tilapia), 1620 nucleotides. RefSeq lists it as uncharacterized. The transcript has 3 exons. The record is from RefSeq and is a predicted model, not a curated record. Lineage: Eukaryota; Metazoa; Chordata; Actinopteri; Cichliformes; Cichlidae.
UCCAAAGUGUUCAAAAUUAAAUAAAUAAAUAGGUCAUGAUGAAAUAAAUAACUAUGUGAAUAAAUAAGACACAGGUAUGUAAUGUGAGAAUGAUAUUGUGAAAUAAUGGAACACAUUUUGAAAAAAAUGCUCAUUAUUGUGAAAUAUAUUACAUUCUGCUAUAUAAAUUUAAUUAUUAUUGUGAAAUAUUAUUUCAUGGUCAUUAUUUUUCACAAUAACAGAGAUUAUUCCUGAGCCAUUUUAUUUAUUUCCAGCCGUUUUUAUUCCAAAAUGACCUUUUUUCAAAGUCAGUCUUUAUUUCAAAAUCCCGUUUUUCCCAAUGGCCUAUUUAUUUAAUAAUGCGACUUUUCAGCAGAAUGACUUUGUCUGUCAAUCAAGAGAGACAGGGCGGAGCCAGUUGUGUGAUUGGUUGCUCCUUUACUCAGACAUAAGUAAUAGCACAUGAAGUGUCGAUUUAGGUUUAACGGUGCAAUGCGUCUCCUAUGCAGCCAGCGGCAGUAUGCAGCUCAAAAUAAAGUUAAGGCACCGACAAAUGCAAAACACUGGGCGCGAAUAACGUUACAGGUGUAUCAAUUCUUGUGAAGGAUAUGGCUGCAGGAGACUAGUCCGUUUCUGAGUUACUCAGAGAACUUGCUAACCGCUUAGAUUGUACGUCUUCACCUCAGUUUGAGAGAGUAUUGCAGCAGCGUACUGGAGAUGAAGCGGUCUCUGGUCCAAGUUCUCAUCACAACCGCACAGUGUUAACGUUAUCACAGCUAGCUCCACUCCAUGAAACGCUGUUCAGGGUAAGUAACAAUAUGUUAUUACUGCUCAGUUAGUCUGUCUGUCUGCCAAAAAUGAGCUUUUUAAUCAGUUCAGUCACAGAUUUUUUUAAUACUGUUUUUAUCAUAGCAAAGAACUCAAUAAAUUAGGUAAGAGAAAAUAAUUGUCUUCUGGGUUAAUGUCUGUAUUACUAUUUACAUUGUUGUAGGUAAUAGUUAUUCAUGACUGUUUUAAAGUGGCUUAUCUUCUCUGCUAAUAUGGAAGACAAGUAAUCUAUGUGAAAGAAAAGAAAGCAAUUUUAGUUCAACGUAGUGAUUUUGUAAGUGGGUAUAAUUUGAAAAUGCUUUUACUAGUACAGUGGAUGUUCUUUAAAUAUUUAACAUUUAAAGUGUGUGUCACUUUACGGAAGCCAACUUCAGUUUUGGUUUGGUCUCACUGUUGUAGGUCAUAACACAAACAAGUCAAGUCAAGCAGCUGAGGAAAGGGCUUAAGGAGACCAUGGUAUGGCCGCUUCUGACAGAAAGAUCAGACAUCAUUCCUCUUUUCUUACCAAGGGAAUCAGAGACUGCUCCCUGUUGUGAGAUGCUCUUAAGACUACAAGUAAAGCUAUAAAAUGACUGUGGCCUGCCACAGAAGAUGAAGAUGAGGAAGAAGAGGAAUGCUCUCGAGGAUAAAUGCAGAGUGGCAGGUUACCUUCGGUCCUUCAUUGAAAAUGCAUCUUGUGCACAAUGAAAAGCCCUCAUCAAGUUUUGGACAGGAUGGGAAGUCUUGCCGAGAGAAAUGACUGUGGAAGUGGUCAACAGCAGUCUUCCAAAGACUUCCACCUGUUUUCACGUACUACGUCUUCCUGCACACUAC